Molecule: ribosomal RNA, 443 nt
Filed under: uncultured bacterium
Lineage: Bacteria
Description: partial 16S ribosomal RNA
Rfam family: Bacterial small subunit ribosomal RNA
Source: RNAcentral
CCUACGGGUGGCUGCAGUGGGGAAUAUUGGGCAAUGGGCGCAAGCCUGACCCAGCAACGCCGCGUGAAGGAAGAAGGCUUUCGGGUUGUAAACUUCUUUUCUCAGGGACGAAGCAAGUGACGUUACCUUAGGAUAAAGCAACGGCGAAUUACGUCCCAGCAGCCGCGGUAAUACGUAGGUGGCAAGGGUUAUCCGGAUUUACUGGGUGUAAAGGGCGUGUAGGCGGGGACGCAAGUCAGAUGUGAAACCCACGGGCUCAACCUGUGACCUGCAUUUGAAACUGUGUUUCUUGAGUACUGGAGAGGCAAACGGAAUUCCUAGUGUAGCGGUGAAAUGCGUAGAUAUUAGGAAGAACACCAGUGGCGAAGGCGGUCGACUGGACAGCAACUGACGGUGAGGCGCGAAAGCGUGGGGAGCAAACAGGAUUAGAUACCCGAGUAGUC